RNAcentral lists this ribosomal RNA (503 nucleotides) under uncultured bacterium. Its description in RNAcentral is "bacterial SSU rRNA". It matches the Rfam family "Bacterial small subunit ribosomal RNA", at positions 16 to 507 of the family's 1533-position model. The record is from RNAcentral.
AUCCUGGCUCAGGAUGAACGCUAGCUACAGGCUUAACACAUGCAAGUCGAGGGGAAACGAUAUUGGAAGCUUGCUUCUGAUAGGCGUCGACCGGCGCACGGGUGAGUAACGCGUAUCCAACCUGCCCAUCACUUGGGGAUAACCUUGCGAAAGUAAGACUAAUACCCAAUGACGUCUCUAGAAGACAUCUGAAAGAGAUUAAAGAUUUAUCGGUGAUGGAUGGGGAUGCGUCUGAUUAGCUUGUUGGCGGGUAACGGCCCACCAAGGCGACGAUCAGUAGGGGUUCUGAGAGGAAGGUCCCCCACAUUGGAACUGAGACACGGUCCAAACUCCUACGGGAGGCAGCAGUGAGGAAUAUUGGUCAAUGGACGAGAGUCUGAACCAGCCAAGUAGCGUGCAGGAUGACGGCCCUAUGGGUUGUAAACUGCUUUUAUAAGGGAAUAAAGUGGGAGUCGUGACUCUUUUUGCAUGUACCUUAUGAAUAAGGACCGGCUAAUUCCGUG